UACGGAGGAUGCGAGCGUUAUCCGGAUUUAUUGGGUUUAAAGGGUGCGUAGGCGGACUGUCAAGUCAGCGGCAAAAUUGAGAGGCUCAACCUCUUCCCGCCGUUGAAACUGGUGGUCUUGAGUGGAUGAGAAGUACGCGGAAUGCGUGGUGUAGCGGUGAAAUGCAUAGAUAUCACGCAGAACUCCGAUUGCGAAGGCAGCGUACCGGCAUCCAACUGACGCUGAGGCACGAAAGCGUGGGGAUCAAACAGG
Molecule: ribosomal RNA, 252 nt
Filed under: uncultured bacterium
Lineage: Bacteria
Description: partial 16S ribosomal RNA
Rfam family: Bacterial small subunit ribosomal RNA
Source: RNAcentral